CCCAAGUCCUCAGCAGUCAAUGACACUGACCCGUUCAAACUGCUUCUUAACGCGUACUUCACGCGUAUUUAGCAGGACUUCACGUGUAUUUAACAGGUUAAAUACACGUAUUUAACGCGCUGAUUUUUCAGGCGUAAACGACACGUAUUUAAUGCGUUAAAUACGUGUUUACGCGUGAAAUACGCAUAUUUAACGUGUUGUUUACACAUUAAAAUUCGCGUGUUUUAGACCCUCUGGGCCUUCCAUACUUGGACGUUGAUAUGAGGUUCAAAAUUUGACCGUCCGGCUACAACGUGCAGAACAGGUUCAGGAAAUCGACAUAACUUUUUUUUUUAUAUAUAUAUAUAUACAUAUAAACACAACAAAGCAAUCCUUUGAUUUCCGAUUUAAAUAUCGCAUGUACCCUAUAAUCUUAAGAAACUUUUGGGUGUUAAAAUGAUGUAAUAUAUAAAUGUUUAAAAACAUUAAACAUUUAUAAUUACAUAAUGUGACCAUAUAAAAUCUUACAUGGAUUUAUUUAUGGUAUGGUUUGUGGUAUUUUUCACUGGAGCAUUGACAGAAACAGCAGUUUACAUCUGUAUUAGAUCUAUAAAUUAAAUAUAGUUAAUUAAAGUUAAAUAUAUUAAAGUUUAAUAAAUUUAAAUAGAUAAUUAGAUUAAAAUAUUUCCUUUUCAAUAAUAAAUAUUUAACACAUAGAUUUAAAUUGGAUGAAAUAGUGCAUUUAAACGUGCGCUCGCCACUAGGGGCGUUAACGUGAUGUUACGUGAGUGACGUAAACGUGAGGGCAAAAAAAAAAAAACGUAAACGUGAUGGCCUAUGGUGAUGGCGCAAACAAUCACGAAGACGGAAGAAUAAUUCUGUUUAUUACAAAAGACUGAAGAUAUAACUACAGCUAUUCUUUAAUUUAUUUAUUUCUACGUUGAGGACACUUUAUAAACCUACAGAGAUACCUGACCAACGAACGACCUUCACAACGGGACAGAGCUAACAUAACGUUAACGGUUACUUGGAAAUUCAAACAGUAACGGAUCUGACAACUGUGCUGAGCCAAAGUUGGUGAAGAUGGAGAUGUUGUGACGACCAGGACAGUUCCUCCUAGCACACCAGACUCUGCUGUAUGUGGACGCCUGUCCACUAGCACUGGACAUUUACAACAUUUGGUGCCAGGGACCUCUUGCAGAGAAGAUUUUUCAAGGACACCCUCAGAAUUACAACAGAUUUUAAGGCUUGAAAUUAUUGUGGGUGGGAGUAUAAUGAACAUAAUAUGAUUGUUUUAUUUAUUCAUUUAUUUUUUUAAAUGGUCCCCAUUUUUUUUAAUAAUACAUUUGUUUAAUGCACAAUAUAGGGCUAAGUUGCACCAGGUCAGGAAAAAACACAUAAGUUGCAUCUGUGUAUAAGACACAUUUUUCUAUUAAUUUCAGAAAUAAAUUAAAUACUGAUAAAUAAAACAAACGUUAAGAAACUUAAAAACUAUAAACACUGUAAAGAUUUUAUUUUCGCUCACUUCAAAUCAUUUAAAUUUAACGCUAUUCAAAACAGAACAAAAAUAAAAAAUAUUUAGGCCUAUGUAUAAAAUAAACAAAUUCUAGAGCCAUUAUUUACAAGCAGUAUUUCUUUUGUUAAAUAAAGAAAACAAACAAAAUGCACUUGCUAUCUCAGUUUCUGUGAACCUCAUGCUGAAAAUUUAGAAAACACAGUGGUACAGACAAUACCACUGUGUACAGACAGACUUGUCACACAGACAUGAGAACUAUAGAAACCUGUAAGUGCCUGCUUUUAAGUGUUUACGGUUUGCUUAGGCUUUUUGACAUUACAACCAUUAUAUAAAAGUUACUUUGGAAUAAUUCAGCACAUCUCAGAAGAUUAAAAAAUAUGACUUGUAGUCUGGAAAAUAUGGUAUAAAUUAUUUUGUGGACCCCUUUGCUUUGGUCCUGAACCCCAGAUUGAAAACCCUUGCAUUGUAGCAUAUUGUGUGUUUUUUUUCAUUAUUAUUAUUGUGCAUGCAGAUAAUAUUCGGGCACAUGAACACCUGACUAUUGCAUGAAUGAAGAAUACCAUCUUUAAGAAUUUUAUGCUAAUUGCAGUUGAAAUAAAAAUGAAAAAGCUUUAAAAGUUCAGCUCCAGCAGGUAAACAUAAUGUGUGGACCCAACUAAACUAAAUUGUUUGUUGUUAAUUGUUAUCCACUGUGUAAUGACUGAAAAUUAUUUUAUUUUCAUGUUUUUUGUGUGAACACACUGUUUCUUUAAGUUUAUUUACAAGUACAAAAAGAAAUUGCAUUGAAAUAAACAUGAGAUUUAAUUGAAUGCAGCCUAUAUGUCAUAAGGUCCUGGAACUGCAGUUGUUGCUAACGGCGCGAUAUGAGAAACACCUCCACAUGUGCCCAGCGGAGAUGUUGUGCGUUUAUGCAAAAUAUGCUGAAUUCCUUCCAAACGCCGUAGAAGGCCACUGCCUGCAUUACCCGCCGGGUGUUCUCCCCAGGGUUUGGACCUCCAACGAGGCUUAAAUGAUGUGUCUGCAAGAUGGAAUACAUUUUCUAAAUAGGAGAGGAGUUCAUUGAUGGUGCCACACACUUCAAGGCUCAUCUCCUCUGCUUGCUGGCAAGUCCCAUCACCCAGGGCACGAGCAUAAAGUUCAUGCAUGGCUGCUAUUGUGCUCCUCAUUGCCUUCAUCUCACUCUCUAUGCUUACUAUUUUUUGAAUGAGGAGGCUAAGGAGGUGAUCUGAGGAGAAUCAAUAUUGAUUCGUUAAAAUUAAGGACCUGGUUUAACCAGCAGUGGAGAGAGUCAUGAAGGAGAAUCACCAAAUAACACUGACAGCGAAGGGUGUCUCUGGGUGGAGUUGGCCUUAUUGGCACAUCAGGCAUGGGAAGCUCUCCACAUCUUGAUGGCAUCUUUAUUGAUUGAUUGAAGGUGGUUUGCUUGUUAGGUUCAUACCUUCAUAAGAGCUGCUGAGACACACCGGUCGUCUUUUCCUUUUGGGGGUGUCAUCACAGCUCUCAAGUGAAGAUUGCACAGCUGCUUUUUUCGACCACUUUUUUGCUCUUUCAUAGUCAUCUUAAGCAAAAAUAUGCCUCCUAGCAACCUGAAUCAGUGGGUUUCUACCAGAACGCACCAUCCUCUUGAGUGUUUGCAGGUAGUUUUCAAACAUGAAGGCACUACAAUUUUCCAGACCACCGAAGUUUUCGGCAUCUUUUGCUAUGUGCAGCAUGGCAUGUGUGUUGUAAACAAGGAACUCUUGUCCAUAAAGAAUCCGACCUUUUCCACAAAAUAAUGCAGCAGUUCAUCUGCAUAUUUCGAGUGUUCCUGCACAAGACUUGGACAUACCAAGAUUAUCAUGGCCACGCUAAAGGAAAGGAAGUGCAAAUACAUUUCAUCAGGCAGUAUUCCCUUCAACACAAUCUUCCCAGUGUAAAGAAGGAACUGACGAAACUCAGUCGCUUUCCACCUGUCCAGUUCCUCAAGACCUCUAGGCUUUCGCACAAAAGUAGAUGGGAUGCAUUUCCGAAGAGACCGCAGUCUUGCACUAAUCUCUGUGAUUUGGCUGGCUGAAACACUCACAACUCUGUCUCCUCUGGUCCAGAUGUGCAGGAGUCUUUUCAUUACACCUAGACAAGCCUGGUGCAUGUAAUCAAUGGGAAAACUCUGCACCAUGUCUAUGGGGAGGUGAGACAGAGUGAAUCCCAUGAUUCAUCAGAUGAGCCAGUUCCCUUACUGUGUCUUCCAAAAAGCCAAGAUCUGUUGGUCGACUUAGACUGCUUGUCAGAGCCGUGGGGAAAAUGGUGACAGGGUCUAACAUGACUGCACAAAGAACUGGCCACAUACAUGUUUUGGAACUCUUGUACAGUGGUGGCAGUACCAACGAUGUUUCGUCCAGCAUUAAAUUACUGCAGAAGAAGAAUACCGCCAACGUGACGCGGAUAUUAUAUCUUAAUGGAGGAAUAAACCUGAAACAGCACUUCCAAGAACUUCUUGAUUGUCGUUUAUGGAUUCCUCAUGAAAUUUGGGAUUGUCGGUUUGGAUGGACCAGGAGUUGGUGUCACUGGAAAAACUCUCAUGGUGGCCCGCUGAUGACUGAGGAUAGAUGUGCCUUGCUGCUUUUCGAAAAGGACUUCUGUCCUGAUGUUUGGCUGUGGUCCCCCCAUCAUCCACUCUUUGGCAACAAGUCUUUGUAUGCAGACCACCAUGAUCUAAUCUAUACAGACCUAGUUGUCUCUUCUCCCACAAACUCCACUUUCAGGAGUACCUUUUACAAAGGUGUCACCAUGAGCUCCCGACCUCCUGACCUCUCCGUGGCUGAGCUGUAUUAGGACUUUGUCAGAACUACAUCUUUUUUGGUCACCACAAUCUGGAUGUGUUCAGUGAGGAUUCAUCGGUGGAUUUCACCUUUGGAAAAGUUUAGGCUGGGAGUGUGUUGUCAUACCAGCAGAAACAAGCUGCAUCAUUACUCACAUCAAGAUGUCCCAUCACCACCACAUCUACCACUUAUUGGUUACAGCCUUGGCACAUCUGUCUGCUUGUUUGUCCAUAGUGAACAUAGUUUUUUAUUUGUAUGUAACCAACACACUUGUACAGGAAAUCUUUAACACCUAAUUAAAGUACUUAUACAUGUUUACACGUUUACAUUAUUAUAGUGCAGGUAACAAAAUAAUUAAAUUUACAUUAUCUACAUUUAUAAAUAAAUGUAUCCAUUUACAAUUUCUAUACUAAAUAUUAUUUUAAUUAAUAUAUUCAGGUGUUCUGUUGUAUUUUUGUAAAGAUUGUGAGUAGCCAAGGGUAUAAAGGGAAUAAAAAAGUGGCGGGACUGUACAAAUCCCAGUAAUCCCAAUCCCAAAUUAAAUGAUUUGUUUCUAUUUCUGGCAUAGUCCAAUUUUUAGUAUAGUUCCAUAGUCCCAUAGGCAUAGUCCCAUAUUUCAAUUUAAAAUAACUGUUUUCUAUGUGAAUAUAUUUUAAAUAUUAUAGCAGUCUAAUAAUAAAAUAAAAGUAGUCUUAAUAAUAAAAAUCAGAAACACUUAUAAUAAAAACGGGAGAGAGAGAGUUAUCUGAGACCAGGGGACCACGUCGCUACAACGUUCCCCAUGGGACCAACUAGCGACGUCUGUUGAGGACAUGCCCACAACGUUUCUGGGACGUUUGCAAACAUUCUAAAAAAAAAAAGUUUAUUUCUUAUAUGGGUAGAUAGAUGUUUGAGUAUUUCGUUACGGGUUUAAAAUGACAAUAGUAUUUAUAAUGUUUACAGUAUACAUUUUGUCAUUUGGAUGUUAUCUUUGUUAUCACUGAUGGACACUUUAGCUAAAGGUAACUUUACCCUUAAAAUUUGCUUUUCACUAAUUCUAUAGUGACUGCAGAAAAAUAGAUAAACAUACAUCCAUAAAUAGCUGUACUAAAGACCAGGGGACCACGUCGCUACAACGUCCUCCAUGGAACUAACUAGCGACGUCUUUUGAGGACGUGCCCACGACGUUUCUGAGACGUUAGCCAAGAUUCUAAAAAAUGGAACUUUACCUCGACGUCCUCACAACGUCGCCAUAAAGUAAUGUCGCGCUAACCAAAUGACGACGAACUGGCGACGUCCUCACAACGUUCUGUGUUUGCUGGGAAGUGCGCUGCGCGCAUAUCAGAAACCAUCUUAACUUGCGUAUUUGCAACUUGCGUAUUUGCCUAAAUGAAUUCUGCCCCACUGCUUAAUGUCUCUGAUCAGUUAAAUUAGUUUUUAAACCACAAUGCUUAAAAUGCGUUUAAAUUAAAAGCUUAUAUCCAUGACGUGCUUAUAUCAUUUACAGCGAUAUCGUUGACUUGAUUGAAAAUUAUUGCAGAGAUACUAUUUAAACUGAACUGAGCUGCAUGAUGACAUCACUGAAUUCAAUGAUGAACUGCC
This is a long non-coding RNA of Cyprinus carpio carpio, 5874 nucleotides long. Lineage: Eukaryota; Metazoa; Chordata; Actinopteri; Cypriniformes; Cyprinidae. The record is from Ensembl.